UCGGAUCAGGUAGGCAUAUCAAUAAGCGGAGGA
Molecule: ribosomal RNA, 33 nt
Filed under: Aspergillus flavus
Lineage: Eukaryota; Fungi; Ascomycota; Eurotiomycetes; Eurotiales; Aspergillaceae
Description: partial 28S ribosomal RNA
Source: RNAcentral